GAUGAACGCUAGCGACAGGCUUAACACAUGCAAGUCGAGGGGCAGCGGGGGUAGCAAUACCCGCCGGCGACCGGCGCACGGGUGAGUAACGCGUAUGCAACUUACCUAUCAGAGGGGGAUAACCCGGCGAAAGUCGGACUAAUACCGCAUGAAGCAGGGGCCUCGCAUGGGGAUAUUUGCUAAAGAUUCAUCGCUGAUAGAUAGGCAUGCGUUCCAUUAGGCAGUUGGCGGGGUAACGGCCCACCAAACCGACGAUGGAUAGGGGUUCUGAGAGGAAGGUCCCACACAUUGGUAGUGAGACACGGACCAAACUCCUACGGGAGGCAGCAGUUAGGAAUAUUGGUCAAUGGGCGCGAGCCUGAACCAGCCAAGUCGCGUGAGGGAUGAAGGUUCUAUGGAUCGUAAACCUCUUUUAUAAGGGAAUAAAGUGCGGGACGUGUCCUGUUUUGUAUGUACCUUAUGAAUAAGGAUCGGCUAACUCCGUGCCAGCCGCCGCAGUAA
RNAcentral lists this ribosomal RNA (501 nucleotides) under uncultured bacterium. RNAcentral describes it as "partial 16S ribosomal RNA". It matches the Rfam family "Bacterial small subunit ribosomal RNA", at positions 28 to 523 of the family's 1533-position model. The record is from RNAcentral.